Molecule: long non-coding RNA, 1447 nt
Filed under: Oryctolagus cuniculus (rabbit)
Lineage: Eukaryota; Metazoa; Chordata; Mammalia; Lagomorpha; Leporidae
Description: lncRNA (ENSOCUG00000031928.1)
Source: RNAcentral
UUCUUUCUACUGGAUCUCACUCACAGAGGAUCUUUCAUUUAGUUUUUUUGUUUUUGCCAGAGUGUCUUGGCUUUCCAUGCCUGAAAUACUCUCAUGGGCUCUUCAGCCAGAUCUGAAUGCCUUAAGGUAAGCCUUGAUUUUCACAUCUACAACAUGCAGGAAUAAUAAUGCCUUUAUUACAGUGCUUCUGUGAGACUCCGAGACAAGAAAUGGGGAACACCCGAUGCAUGAUCGUAACUAUCAAUAUGGUAACAAUGUCUUCCAGAUAGUCCUCAGGCUCAGCUUGGAGAAGAGAAACUACUUAAGAGAAACCACUUAGAAUGCCUCAUGUAGCUCGUGUAGCUCCCAAUAUUGUGGAGUUGUACGUGCCUUGCCAAAAGAUGCCUGUGCAGUUAUUUAGAUAAGCUGCCACCUGGUCUGACUUCAGGUUUUGCUGUCACCACACCUCUCGGCUGUGACAGCAGAGGCUUUUCAGCAUAGAUGUUUUUCAACUGGAACCGCAGCACAUGGCUUUGUAAAUGUAAUUAGCGCACUCCUUGGGAAAUGCAAUGAGCUAUGCAAAAUCCAAGUACUUUGCAUCUUCAGAAACAUGUGUGGGAUACUCAUAUGUGCUCCAGUACUUUCCUCCUUAUUGCAAGGGGAAAAAAGCAGAUAGAGAUUAUGUAGGUACAAACAUCUAUAAAGAAAUCUGUGGAUCAGAGGAGCACAAGAAAAACUACAAGAACCCCACAGUUACAGUCUCUAAUGCCACCCUGAGAUGUGUGAAACCCUGGAAGAAUUAUAAUGAAGAUGUUUACCAUCAAGUUUGCAAAGAAGUGGCAGGAGCCUGAAAUCAUCAAGAGAACAUUAAAUGCCAGAACAUAGAAGAUUUGAAGGUUCUUUAGGACUUUGUUGAGCAGAGUCCCAUCUUGGAGCAGCUAGUCAGAAAGAAAGAGAUGAUCAAUGAUGAGCAUUCUUUCUUAUUGUUGGAGUGGGAGGUUUUAGACAAGCAAAGGGUACAGGUUAUAAGGAUCCAUGUGAUGAUGGUGGAAACAUCAGUAUAAUUCAGAUACAGAUGAUUGCAAUAGAAAAGUUUUAGGUGGCUUAUAUUCAUUGGUUAGCAUACACACAUUUAUUUCCUUGCUCUGUCAGCUCAGAGUGUCUAGAAGAAAUGAUUCUCCAGCAGCAAAAAACACACUUAGCACCCAGAUCUCAGUUUCUAAUACCGUUCUCCAACGAGAGGAAUAGGGAAUUUUGGUAAAAUGGCUAACUCUAGGACUCAGGCAGGAAAUACACAAAAUGAACUUGAGCCUCUUAUAGUGACAAGUAAGGAAACACUAAAAAAACCAAGACAAAACAGAUGAUGGGGGCAUGUCAUAGGAACACAGGAGCCAGCCAAAAGUUCUCAGUGGCCAAAGCUGAGACAAUUUGAGCAACAAAAUAAAGUAGUAGUUUGGGUUAGACCCCA